RNAcentral lists this ribosomal RNA (200 nucleotides) under uncultured bacterium. RNAcentral describes it as "partial 16S ribosomal RNA". It matches the Rfam family "Bacterial small subunit ribosomal RNA", at positions 8 to 208 of the family's 1533-position model. The record is from RNAcentral.
AGAGUUUGAUCCUGGCUCAGGACGAACGCUGGCGGCGUGCCUAAUACAUGCAAGUCGAGCGGAGCUAUUCCUUCGGGGGUAGCUUAGCGGCGGACGGGUGAGUAACACGUAGGCAACCUGCCUGCAAGACCGGGAUAACGUUCGGAAACGGAAGCUAAGACCGGAUAAGUCGAGAGAACGCAUGUUCUCUUGUGGAAACA